RNAcentral lists this ribosomal RNA (362 nucleotides) under Surirella sp.1 ECR-2011. RNAcentral describes it as "eukaryotic LSU rRNA". It matches the Rfam family "Eukaryotic large subunit ribosomal RNA", at positions 98 to 476 of the family's 3401-position model. The record is from RNAcentral. Lineage: Eukaryota; Bacillariophyta; Bacillariophyceae; Surirellales; Surirellaceae.
GUUCCAAUAGCCCAUUGUGUGAAUUGACACUUGUGUCAAAUUGUGGAAUGUUGGUUAUGUCACCAAUCUUCCGGACCAAGUCCCCUGGAACGGGGCAGCAGAAAGGGUGAGACUCCCGUAUGUCUGGAAGAGUGAGGUAUAACCUAUGAGUCGAGUUGUUUGGGAUUGCAGCUCUAAGUGGGUGGUAAAUUCCAUCCAAGGCUAAAUAUUGACGAGAGACCGAUAGCGUACAAGUACCGUGAGGGAAAGAUGCAAAGCCGCGCGAGAGCGCUGUCAAAGAGUACCUGAAAUUGCUGAAAAGGAAGCGAAGGAAAUCAGUGUUAGCCAACCUGCACUUCCCCUGUUGCUUGCAUUUGGGGCGC